Molecule: transfer RNA, 82 nt
Filed under: Aeneator elegans
Lineage: Eukaryota; Metazoa; Mollusca; Gastropoda; Neogastropoda; Buccinidae
Description: tRNA-Asn
Source: RNAcentral
AUGAAAGCCAAAAUAGAGGCGCCUAGCUGUUAAUUAGGAGAAUGUAAUUGUAAGCUACUCAUUUAAUAGUAUUUAAGUAGGU